AGAGUUUGAUCCUGGCUCAGGACGAACGCUGGCGGCGUGCCUAAUACAUGCAAGUCGAACGCACUCUCGUUAGAUUGAAGAAGCUUGCUUCUGAUUGAUAACAUUUGAGUGAGUGGCGGACGGGUGAGUAACACGUGGGUAACCUGCCCUAAAGUGGGGGAUAACAUUUGGAAACAGAUGCUAAUACCGCAUAAAACCUAGCACCGCAUGGUGCAAGGUUGAAAGAUGGUUUCGGCUAUCACUUUAGGAUGGACCCGCGGUGCAUUAGUUAGUUGGUGAGGUAAAGGCUCACCAAGACCGUGAUGCAUAGCCGACCUGAGAGGGUAAUCGGCCACACUGGGACUGAGACACGGCCCAGACUCCUACGGGAGGCAGCAGUAGGGAAUCUUCCACAGUGGACGAAAGUCUGAUGGAGCAACGCCGCGUGAGUGAAGAAGGUUUUCGGAUCGUAAAACUCUGUUGUUGGAGAAGAACGUAUUUGAUAGUAACUGAUCAGGUAGUGACGGUAUCCAACCAGAAAGCCACGGCUAACUACGUGCCAGCAGCCGCGGUAAUACGUAGGUGGCAAGCGUUGUCCGGAUUUAUUGGGCGUAAAGCGAGCGCAGGCGGUUUCUUAAGUCUGAUGUGAAAGCCUUCGGCUCAACCGAAGAAGUGCAUCGGAAACUGGGAAACUUGAGUGCAGAAGAGGACAGUGGAACUCCAUGUGUAGCGGUGAAAUGCGUAGAUAUAUGGAAGAACACCAGUGGCGAAGGCGGCUGUCUGGUCUGUAACUGACGCUGAGGCUCGAAAGCAUGGGUAGCAAACAAGGUUAGAUACCCUGGUAGUCCAUGCCGUAAAC
RNAcentral lists this ribosomal RNA (838 nucleotides) under uncultured bacterium. Its description in RNAcentral is "bacterial SSU rRNA". It matches the Rfam family "Bacterial small subunit ribosomal RNA", at positions 8 to 807 of the family's 1533-position model. The record is from RNAcentral.